AGAAUCAACGCUGGCGGCGUGCCUAACACAUGCAAGUCGCACGAGAAAGUGGAGCAAUCCAUGAGUAAAGUGGCGCACGGGUGAGUAACACGUGAAUGAUCUACCUCCGAGUGGGGAAUAACUGAGAGAAAUCUUAGCUAAUACCGCAUAAUACCCACGGGUCAAAGCAGCAAUGCGCUUGGAGAGGAGUUCGCGGCCGAUUAGCUAGUUGGCGGGGUAAUGGCCCACCAAGGCGAUGAUCGGUAUCCGGCCUGAGAGGGCGCACGGACACACUGGAACUGAAACACGGUCCAGACUCCUACGGGAGGCAGCAGUGGGGAAUUUUGCGCAAUGGGGGAAACCCUGACGCAGCAACGCCGCGUGGAGGAUGAAAUCCCUUGGGAUGUAAACUCCUUUCGAUAGGGAAGAUAAUGACGGUACCUAUAGAAGAAGCCCCGGCUAACUUCGUGCCAGCAGCCGC
This 460-nucleotide ribosomal RNA is filed under the name uncultured bacterium. RNAcentral's name for it is "SSU rRNA". It matches the Rfam family "Bacterial small subunit ribosomal RNA", at positions 26 to 518 of the family's 1533-position model. The record is from RNAcentral.